GGACCCGCACAAGCGGUGGAUGAUGUGGUUUAAUUCGAUGCAACGCGAAAAACCUUACCUACCCUUGACAUGCCAGGAAUUCCAUAGAGAUAUGGAAGUGCUCGAAAGAGAGCCUGGGCACAGGUGCUGCAUGGCCGUCGUCAGCUCGUGUCGUGAGAUGUUGGGUUAAGUCCCGCAACGAGCGCAACCCUUAUCAUUAGUUGCUACGCAAGGGCACUCUAAUGAGACUGCCGGUGACAAACCGGAGGAAGGUGGGGAUGACGUCAGGUCCUCAUGGCCCUUAUGGGUAGGGCUACACACGUCAUACAAUGGCCGGUACAGAGGGCUGCCAACCCGCGAGGGGGAGCUAAUCCCAGAAAACCGGUCGUAGUCCGGAUUGCAGUCUGCAACUCGACUGCAUGAAGUCGGAAUCGCUAGUAAUCGCGGAUCAGCUUGCCGCGGUGAAUACGUUCCCGGGUCUU
This 461-nucleotide ribosomal RNA is filed under the name uncultured bacterium. Its description in RNAcentral is "bacterial SSU rRNA". It matches the Rfam family "Bacterial small subunit ribosomal RNA", at positions 917 to 1382 of the family's 1533-position model. The record is from RNAcentral.